Molecule: long non-coding RNA, 303 nt
Filed under: Mytilus galloprovincialis (Mediterranean mussel)
Lineage: Eukaryota; Metazoa; Mollusca; Bivalvia; Mytilida; Mytilidae
Source: RNAcentral
UCAUAUGUGUGUUGUGGCACCGUUAAAGUCCACAAUUCCUCUAAAGUCCACAACACCGCUAAAGUCCACAACAAAUUUCCGCUAAAGUCCACAACGCCGCUAAAGUCCACAAACUUUCCGCUAAAGUCCACAAAAUUACCUCCGCUAAAGUCCACAAGAAAACGCCGUUAAAGUCCACAAUAACAAGUUCCGCUAAAGUCCACAAAAAAGCACCGUUAAAGUCCACACCAAUUUUUUUAUUGUUAAAAACAUAUUAUUCGUUAUUUUUAUCCCGUUAGUACAAUACAAAGCAUUGGCCUUUCU